This 1345-nucleotide ribosomal RNA is filed under the name uncultured bacterium. Its description in RNAcentral is "partial 16S ribosomal RNA". It matches the Rfam family "Bacterial small subunit ribosomal RNA", at positions 28 to 1380 of the family's 1533-position model. The record is from RNAcentral.
GACGAACGUUGGCGGCGUGCUUAACACAUGCAAGUCGAACGGAAAGGCCCUGCUUUUGUGGGGUGCUCGAGUGGCGAACGGGUGAGUAACACGUGAGUAACCUGCCCUUGACUUUGGGAUAACUUCAGGAAACUGGGGCUAAUACCGGAUAGGAGCUCCUGCUGCAUGGUGGGGGUUGGAAAGUUUCGGCGGUUGGGGAUGGACUCGCGGCUUAUCAGCUUGUUGGUGGGGUAGUGGCUUACCAAGGCUUUGACGGGUAGCCGGCCUGAGAGGGUGACCGGCCACAUUGGGACUGAGAUACGGCCCAGACUCCUACGGGAGGCAGCAGUGGGGAAUAUUGCACAAUGGGCGGAAGCCUGAUGCAGCAACGCCGCGUGCGGGAUGACGGCCUUCGGGUUGUAAACCGCUUUCGCCUGUGACGAAGCGUGAGUGACGGUAAUGGGUAAAGAAGCACCGGCUAACUACGUGCCAGCAGCCGCGGUGAUACGUAGGGUGCGAGCGUUGUCCGGAUUUAUUGGGCGUAAAGGGCUCGUAGGUGGUUGAUCGCGUCGGAAGUGUAAUCUUGGGGCUUAACCCUGAGCGUGCUUUCGAUACGGGUUGACUUGAGGAAGGUAGGGGAGAAUGGAAUUCCUGGUGGAGCGGUGGAAUGCGCAGAUAUCAGGAGGAACACCAGUGGCGAAGGCGGUUCUCUGGGCCUUUCCUGACGCUGAGGAGCGAAAGCGUGGGGAGCGAACAGGCUUAGAUACCCUGGUAGUCCACGCUGUAAACGGUGGGUACUAGGUGUGGGGUCCAUUCCACGGGUUCCGUGCCGUAGCUAACGCUUUAAGUACCCCGCCUGGGGAGUACGGCCGCAAGGCUAAAACUCAAAGGAAUUGACGGGGCCCCGCACAAGCGGCGGAGCAUGCGGAUUAAUUCGAUGCAACGCGUAGAACCUUACCUGGGUUUGACAUGGAUCGGGAGUGCUCAGAGAUGGGUGUGCCUCUUUUGGGGUCGGUUCACAGGUGGUGCAUGGCUGUCGUCAGCUCGUGUCGUGAGAUGUUGGGUUAAGUCCCGCAACGAGCGCAACCCUUGUUCACUGUUGCCAGCACGUUAUGGUGGGGACUCAGUGGAGACCGCCGGGGUCAACUCGGAGGAAGGUGGGGAUGACGUCAAGUCAUCAUGCCCCUUAUGUCCAGGGCUUCACGCAUGCUACAAUGGCUGGUACAGAGAGUGGCGAGCCUGUGAGGGUGAGCGAAUCUCGGAAAGCCGGUCUCAGUUCGGAUUGGGGUCUGCAACUCGACCUCAUGAAGUCGGAGUCGCUAGUAAUCGCAGAUCAGCAACGCUGCGGUGAAUACGUUCCCGGGGC